GGUCGCGUGGCCCAAUGGCAAGGCGCUUGACUACGAAUCAAGAGAUUGUCGGUUCGAAUCCGGCCGCGAUCA
Non-coding RNA from Sporormia fimetaria CBS 119925, 72 nucleotides. Lineage: Eukaryota; Fungi; Ascomycota; Dothideomycetes; Pleosporales; Sporormiaceae. The record is from the annotation of a GenBank genome assembly.